This is an RNA transcript of Raphanus sativus (radish), 642 nucleotides long. RefSeq lists it as uncharacterized. The transcript has 4 exons. The record is from RefSeq and is a predicted model, not a curated record. NCBI's taxonomy places the organism in Eukaryota, Viridiplantae, Streptophyta, Magnoliopsida, Brassicales, Brassicaceae.
CGUCAUUGAUGGAGAAUGUAAGAAAAGAUGAAGUGUAAGAGACCAAGAAUGCAGUCUUUGCAAUGAACCCAGACAAAUCGCCUGGACCUGACGGAAUGUCUGCAGCCUUUUACCGUCAACAUUGGGAAACUAUCAAGCCAGAUAUGGAGGAACGGGAUCAUGAAGUGCAUUACAACAGUUUCCUAUACGAUUCUCAUAAAUCGAGACCAGUCAAGAACCAUUACGCCUCAUAGAGGUCUCAGGCAAGAUGACUCGCUGUUAUUUUGCAAAGCCACAGGAGAGGAAACUUGCAAUCUCAGACACAUUCUCAACACCUAUCAGCAGGCUUCAGGACAAGAAAUUAACUAUACCAAGUCGUCCAUAUCUUUCAGUAAAGGCUAAAUGGGCUAUAUUUAAAAUGGGCCGCCGUAAGAGGAUUAAACCCAUAGCGACAUCAACGACGUGGAAAAGAAGGUCGCCGAAGUCGAGAAGGUCGCGGAAGCAGUUACAAGAAUAGCGGAGUCGAACCUAUAAAAGGAAGAGGAUAUCAAGGCUAAAGGACACAGCGAAAACCCUAGAGAGAGAGCACACCACACAUUUACAUCUUUCUUACUUCGUUUAGAUCUCAUUCUUGAUCGACCUCCUUGUUAUAGUCGAUCUCUU